RNAcentral lists this ribosomal RNA (464 nucleotides) under uncultured bacterium. Its description in RNAcentral is "SSU rRNA". It matches the Rfam family "Bacterial small subunit ribosomal RNA", at positions 26 to 518 of the family's 1533-position model. The record is from RNAcentral.
AGAACGAACGCUGGCGGCAUGCCUAACACAUGCAAGUCGAACGCUUUUGGGGCUUCGGUCCCAAAGGAGUGGCGCACGGGUGAGUAGCGCGUGGGAACCUGCCCUGUUGUGGGGGAUAACCGAGGGAAACUUCGGCUAAUACCGCAUACGCCCGGGGGAAACUCCGGGGAAAGAUUUAUCGCAGCAGGAGGGGCCCGCGUCGGAUUAGGUAGUUGGUGGGGUAACGGCCCACCAAGCCUGUGAUCCGUAGCUGGUCUGAGAGGAUGAUCAGCCACACUGGGACUGAGACACGGCCCAGACUCCUACGGGAGGCAGCAGUGGGGAAUAUUGGACAAUGGGCGCAAGCCUGAUCCAGCAAUGCCGCGUGAGUGAUGAAGGCCUUCGGGUUGUAAAGCUCUUUCGCACGCGACGAUGAUGACGGUAGCGUGAGAAGAAGCCCCGGCUAACUUCGUGCCAGCAGCCGC